CGCAUGGGAGGCGCAUAGCUAGACACAAACUGCGUAGUAAAUCGAAUCAAGCGGGGACUUGAGGAGAGAGGCUGCGUAGUCAUUGUUGAACCAAGUCUGCAGUGCGAAUCCGGUCUUAAUAAACCAGACCUGGUGGCACUACGACAAAAUCACAUUGAUGUGAUCGACAUACAAAUUGUGACAGACGGACACUCUAUGGAUGAUGCACACCAGCGCAAAAUCAAUAGAUACGACAGACCGGACAUACGAACUGAGUUGCGUCGCAGAUUCGAAGCCGCAGGUGACAUUGAAUUCCAUUCUGCCACCCUGAACUGGAGGGGGAUCUGGAGUGGUCAAUCCGUUAAAAGAUUGAUAGCGAAGGGUCUCCUCAGCAAAUAUGAUAGUCAUAUCAUUAGCGUCCAGGUUAUGAGAGGCAGUCUCGGUUGUUUUAAACAGUUCAUGUACCUGAGCGGGUUUUCCCGAGAUUGGACUUAGCUAAAACGUUUGGUUCAAAACAUUUGCUUGCUGUCUUGGCAUAACAUCAAUAAAGGCAUAAACAUCGCAAAUAAUGGUAAUAUAUAAAUUGGCUAUGAGGAUGGUUUUAGUACGUAGGCGUUGCGGAACUUCGGUUCAGAUAGAGCAAUGAAUCGUGCAUGCUAGGAAACUGAAGUGUUGACAGACCUAGUAUCUUUCGAUAGAUUUCCAUACCUCCGCGAUCAAAAAAAAAAAAAAAAAAAAAAAAAAUAGCCAAAUGCCUCGUCAUCUAAUUAGUGACGCGCAUGAAUGGAUUAACGAGAUUCCUACUGUCCCUAUCUACUAUCUAGCGAAACCACAGCCAAGGGAACGGGCUUGGAAUAAUUAGCGGGGAAAGAAGACCCUUUUGAGCUUGACUCUAAUCUGGCAGUGUAAGGAGACAUAAGAGGUGUAGAAUAAGUGGGAGAUAUUAGACCUCGGUUUGGUAUCGUCAAUGAAAUACCACUACUCUUAUUGUUUCCUUACUUACUUGAUUAAAUGGAACGUGUAUCAUUUCCUAGCCAUUAUACGGAUAUAUUUAUUAUAUCUUAUGGUAUUGGGUUUUGAUGCAAGCUUCUUGAUCAAAGUAUCACGAGUUUGUUAUAUAAUCGCAAACAAAUUCUUUAAUAAAACGAUGCAUUUAUGUAUUUUUGAUUUGAAAAUUUGGUAUAACUCCAAUUACUCAGGUAUGAUCCAAUUCAAGGACAUUGCCAGGUAGGGAGUUUGACUGGGGCGGUACAUCUCUCAAAUAAUAACGGAGGUGUCCCAAGGCCAGCUCAGUGCGGACAGAAACCACACAUAGAGCAAAAGGGCAAAUGCUGACUUGAUCUCGGUGUUCAGUACACACAGGGACAGCAAAAGCUCGGCCUAUCGAUCCUUUUGGUUUAAAGAGUUUUUAACAAGAGGUGUCAGAAAAGUUACCAUAGGGAUAACUGGCUUGUGGCGGCCAAGCGUUCAUAGCGACGUCGCUUUUUGAUCCUUCGAUGUCGGCUCUUCCUAUCAUUGUGAAGCAAAAUUCACCAAGCGUUGGAUUGUUCACCCAUGCAAGGGAACGUGAGCUGGGUUUAGACCGUCGUGAGACAGGUUAGUUUUACCCUACUAAUGACAAAACGUUGUUGCGACAGCAUUCCUGCGUAGUACGAGAGGAACCGCAGGUACGGACCAAUGGCACAAUACUUGUUCGAGCGAACAGUGGUAUGACGCUACGUCCGUUGGAUUAUGCCUGAACGCCUCUAAGGUCGUAUCCGUGCUGGACUGCAAUGAUAAAUAAGGGGCAAUUUGCAUUGU
RNAcentral lists this ribosomal RNA (1779 nucleotides) under Drosophila sechellia. RNAcentral's name for it is "eukaryotic LSU rRNA". The stretch from base 532 to 1779 matches the Rfam family "Eukaryotic large subunit ribosomal RNA", at positions 1890 to 3185 of the family's 3401-position model. The record is from RNAcentral. Lineage: Eukaryota; Metazoa; Arthropoda; Insecta; Diptera; Drosophilidae.